AUUGAACGCUGGCGGCAUGCCUUACACAUGCAAGUCGAACGGUAACGGGCCUUCGGGUGCCGACGAGUGGCGAACGGGUGAGUAAUGCAUCGGAACGUACCUUUCAGUGGGGGAUAACGUAGCGAAAGUUACGCUAAUACCGCAUAUUCUGUGAGCAGGAAAGCAGGGGAUCGCAAGACCUUGCGCUGAUUGAGCGGCCGAUGUCAGAUUAGCUAGUUGGUGAGGUAAAGGCUUACCAAGGCGACGAUCUGUAGCGGGUCUGAGAGGAUGAUCCGCCACACUGGAACUGAGACACGGUCCAGACUCCUACGGGAGGCAGCAGUGGGGAAUUUUGGACAAUGGGGGCAACCCUGAUCCAGCCAUGCCGCGUGAGUGAAGAAGGCCUCGGUUGUAAG
Molecule: ribosomal RNA, 395 nt
Filed under: uncultured bacterium
Lineage: Bacteria
Description: bacterial SSU rRNA
Rfam family: Bacterial small subunit ribosomal RNA
Source: RNAcentral